This 1183-nucleotide ribosomal RNA is filed under the name metagenome. Its description in RNAcentral is "SSU rRNA". It matches the Rfam family "Eukaryotic small subunit ribosomal RNA", at positions 603 to 1801 of the family's 1831-position model. The record is from RNAcentral.
AUUAAAGUUGUUGCGGUUAAAAAGCUCGUAGUUGGAUUUCUGGUACAGUGCGCUUAGCCCAUUGGGCCGUAAGGUUUGAUGAGUGCUGAUGUGCGCUUACCAUCUUUGCUAGAAAACGACUCUGCUCUUCACUGGGUAGGGCCGCGCUCUAGCUCUUUUACUUUGAAAAAAUUAGAGUGUUUAAAGCAGGCUUGCGCUAUGAAUACAUUAGCAUGGAAUAAUAAUCUGGGACUUCGCUCCUAUUUUGUUGGUUUCUGGGAAUGAAGUAAUGAUUGAUAGGGACGGUUGGGGGUGCUAGUAUUCAGCGGCCAGAGGUGAAAUUCUUGGAUUCGCUGAAGACUAACUAAUGCGAAAGCAUUCACCAAGCACGUCUUCUUUAAUCAAGAACGAAAGUUGGGGGAUCGAAGACGAUCAGAUACCGUCGUAGUCUCAACUAUAAACUAUACCGACUAGGGAUUGGCGGAAGUUGUUCAACGACUCCGUCAGCACCUUAUGAGAAAUCAAAGUCUUUGGGUUCCGGGGGGAGUAUGGUCGCAAGGCUGAAACUUAAAGGAAUUGACGGAAGGGCACCACCAGGAGUGGAGCCUGCGGCUUAAUUUGACCCAACACGGGGAAACUUACCAGGUCCAGACAUGGGGAGGAUUGACAGACUGAAGUUCUUUCUUGAUUCUAUGGGUGGUGGUGCAUGGCCGUUCUUAGUUGGUGGAGUGAUUCGUCUGGUUAAUUCCGUUAACGAACGAGACCUCGACCUGCUAAAUAGUUCAGCAUACCCUCGGGUAUGUAUGUGACUUCUUAGAGGGACUGUCGGUUUUUAGCCGAAGGAAGUUCGAGGCAAUAACAGGUCUGUGAUGCCCUUAGAUGUCCUGGGCCGCACGCGCGCUACACUGAUACGUUCAUCGAGCUUACAACCUUGUCUGAGAGGACUGGGUAAUCUUUUCAAAGCGUAUCGUGAUGGGGCUUGUUCAUUGUAAUUAUUGAACAUCAACGAGGAAUUCCUAGUAAACGCGAGUCAUCAGCUCGCAUUGAUUACGUCCCUGCCCUUUGUACACACCGCCCGUCGCUGCUACCGAUUGAACGGAUUAGUAAGCUUCAGGGAUCGCCACUCAUUGGGGGCAACUCUAGUGGGUGGUGAGAACUGACGCACACUUGCUCGUUUAGAGGAAGCAAAAGUCGUAACAAGGUU